GUCCCAGUAGCUCAGUUGGAUAGAGCAACGGCCUUCUAAGCCGUAGGUCGCAGGUUCGAAUCCUGCCUGGGACACCA
This 77-nucleotide transfer RNA is filed under the name Salibacterium salarium. Its description in RNAcentral is "Bacillus salarius tRNA-Arg". It matches the Rfam family "tRNA". Rfam says of the family: Transfer RNA (tRNA) molecules are approximately 80 nucleotides in length. Their secondary structure includes four short double-helical elements and three loops (D, anti-codon, and T loops). Lineage: Bacteria; Bacillati; Bacillota; Bacilli; Caryophanales; Bacillaceae. The record is from RNAcentral.